Molecule: long non-coding RNA, 636 nt
Organism: Aphis gossypii (cotton aphid)
Lineage: Eukaryota; Metazoa; Arthropoda; Insecta; Hemiptera; Aphididae
Exons: 5
Source: RefSeq, a predicted model, not a curated record
AAUAUUUAUUUCGUGUCAAAUUUUCAAAGAAUGGGAUAGGAUUUUUUAUUACUUACUACUAGGCGUGUCGAUUAAAUAACAUUCCUUGCUAAGCGAAAUCCGGUAACACCGCCGUGUUGGUUAGCAAUACAUGGAAUCUAACAUAUUAUUAUACAACACUAAUGAUGAAGAAUAGUGAGCGAUUUUUAAUUAUAACAUCAUUAAUAACCCACAUCAAUAUUUAAAGAAAAAACAACAUUAAGAACGCACAGAAAGUAAAAGCUCCAGAGAUGUCGAAAGAAUUAAAUCGUGUAUAAACGCGCGAAAGUGGUAUUUGAAUGCCAAAACACAAACGAUUGUUCUGAAGAAAAAAAUUAUAACGUAAUAUCAUCUGCACAUGGCAUUAUUAACAUUAGUCGGAAAAUAGUUUCAUGAAAAAAAAUUGUAUCACAAAUCACAAUGAAAACGUGACACGACCGGUCGGUCAGGUGAAAGGCUUUUUUCUCGCGUGUGGCGGCUGUUGCGAGUAUUAUUUGAUCGGAAAUACAUUCUCACUAAUGUUGACACAAAAUCGAAAUGAUGAAAUCAUCACCAAAUGGUCAUAAUAAAUAAUGAAAUGCGGCAAAGAUAAAACUCCCACGCACACACAGUUUAACG